UCACAAAUUAUUAGCUUGUUUUGACAGGAACCUCCAAAAUAAUCCUCAGCUUUUCACUUGCAGACAUAGACUGUUGUCCACUAGGUGGUGCCAGUGUUCCUGUAAACGAUCAUACUGUUGAGGAUACAUUAUUUACUGAUAAUUGUAGACAAUAAUUGCAGCAACACAAGACGAGUUUUAUUCAUGUACUUUUGAUUUAAAACAGCAGACAUCAUUUGUUUAUGUGAAAUAUUUUUACUGUUUAAGUGAGUUGUUUUCUUCUCACAGGGACACGGGUAGCACCAUCAUUGUGGCAUAUUUUGUCUACACCAACGGGACUGCUCUGACCUCUGUUCAAGUGGACACGAUGCUGUCUGAUCCUGAACAUUUUCUUGUGCUGGGACAGCUCGGCCUCAAGAACAUUGGGAAGGCUCCUGUGAAAGAACCCGACACGGACCCUGUGAAGUACAUCUUGCUGGGGAUAGUGGGAGGCCUCGUCAUCGUACUGGGUGUCCUCAUCACUUCCCUAAUGUGCACUCGCAGAACCUACGGGAGGAAACUGAAGGCAGCUAAAGCCAUGAACUCUGCAUCCAUGAUGACUUCUGACAACCAGAAAGGUGGCGCUGUAGUGCCUGGAACCAACAAAUACACCAUGGAGGGGUGAGGAGACAACAGAUAAAUGAAUGAAUCAAUUAUAUGAAAUAAAACAUAUCUCUGACUGUGUAUAUCAUUAUUCGCUCAAAGGGCUAAUCCAGUUCUCAACCUCAACAUCGACACGGCCAUGAUCCUGGGAUUGGACGAGGAGAGCUCAGAUGUGGACAAAGUCAGGUAAAUAAUUAGUCUCUGUGACUCUCUCCAUCAUCUGUUGAUAGCAAUGAUUCA
This 861-nucleotide long non-coding RNA is filed under the name Dicentrarchus labrax (European seabass). RNAcentral's name for it is "lncRNA (ENSDLAG00005032135.1)". The record is from RNAcentral. Lineage: Eukaryota; Metazoa; Chordata; Actinopteri; Moronidae.